AGUGGCGAACGGGUGAGUAAUGUAUCGGAACGUGCCCUAGAGUGGGGGAUAACGUAGCGAAAGUUACGCUAAUACCGCAUACGAUCUACGGAUGAAAGUGGGGGACCGCAAGGCCUCACGCUCAUGGAGCGGCCGAUAUCUGAUUAGCUGGUUGGUAGGGUAAAAGCCUACCAAGGCGACGAUCAGUAGCUGGUCUGAGAGGACGACCAGCCACACUGGGACUGAGACACGGCCCAGACUCCUACGGGAGGCAGCAGUGGGGAAUUUUGGACAAUGGGGGAAACCCUGAUCCAGCAAUGCCGCGUGUGUGAGGAAGGCCUUCGGGUUGUAAAGCACUUUUGUCAGGAACGAAACGGUGGGGGCUAAUAUCCUCUGCUAAUGACGGUACCUGAAGAAUAAGCACCGGCUAACUACGUGCCAGCAGCCGCGGUAAUACGUAGGGAGCGAGCGUUAAUCGGAAUUACUGGGCGUAAAGCGUGCGCAGGCGGUUGUGCAAGACAGAUGUGAAAUCCCCGGGCUUAACCUGGGAAUUGCAUUUGUGACUGCACGGCUAGAGUGUGUCAGAGGGGGGUAGAAUUCCACGUGUAGCAGUGAAAUGCGUAGAUAUGUGGAGGAAUACCGAUGGCGAAGGCAGCCCCCUGGGAUAACACUGACGCUCAUGCACGAAAGCGUGGGGAGCAAACAGGAUUAGAUACCCUGG
This 700-nucleotide ribosomal RNA is filed under the name uncultured beta proteobacterium. RNAcentral describes it as "bacterial SSU rRNA". It matches the Rfam family "Bacterial small subunit ribosomal RNA", at positions 94 to 790 of the family's 1533-position model. Lineage: Bacteria; Pseudomonadati; Pseudomonadota; Betaproteobacteria. The record is from RNAcentral.